RNAcentral lists this ribosomal RNA (325 nucleotides) under uncultured eukaryote. Its description in RNAcentral is "partial 18S ribosomal RNA". It matches the Rfam family "Eukaryotic small subunit ribosomal RNA", at positions 1470 to 1796 of the family's 1831-position model. The record is from RNAcentral.
CCCUUAGAUGUUCUGGGCUGCACGCGUGCUACACUGAUAUUGCCAAUAUGUCAUUCUUAUCCGAAAUGGAUUGGGUAAUCAAGUAAUGAAAUUUCAUGCUUGGAAUCGGUAAUUGCAAUUUUAUCGUGAACGAGGAAUUCCUAGUAAGCACUAGUCAUCAGCUAAUGUUGAUUACGUCCCUGCCCUUUGUACACACCGCCCGUCGCUACUACCGAUUGAAUGAUUUAGUGAGUACCAGGGACCGAGCGCUUUGGUUGGGUUUCCUUCCCUAGCGCUUGGGAACUGUCGCAAACUUGACCAUUUAGAGGAAGUAAAAGUCGUAACA